UGAAGCAGUUAUGCAAAUUUGAUAUCAUCAUGAAUUUAAGUAUGAUGCAAAUUUGAGAAAUUUUUGUUUUAUGCGGGAAGUUUGUUCCAUUACUGUUAUUUCUGGUUUGUAAUUUCUUCUAUCUGCUUUCGAUUCUUUUGUUAUUUUCAUCCAAUCCAAAUGCUGACUAGAAACAUUAUGUGAGAUAUAUUUCAGCUAGUAAAUGUGUACAAGAAUGUGUUAUCUUGUUUAAAAACCCUGACUCUCAGAGAUAUUCCCUUAAGAGACUUAGAUUAAGGCUGGGAACUGUUGUAGCUUCACUCCAUAGCUUUUAAAUUAUUUGAAAUAUUAUUGAAGAGAAUAUCUGCUGGACUGUGGAUGUUUGAUUCUUGUGCUUAUGCGCUAAAUUGAAUUUAUGUUUGCUUGUUUUGAAAGUAUUCUUUUGGGUAUGUUAAUAAUUCUUCAAUUAUGUAUCUUUGUUAAUCAGCCAGCAAAAAAAAAAGUUAGCAAUUAAUGCAUAUCUGUUUCUACCGUAUGUUUUUUUUUUGCUGCAGGAUAAGCUAGCAUAUUUUCGAAUAAAAGAGCUGAAGGAUGUUCUCACUCAAUUAGGUCUUGCAAAGCAAGGAAUAAAACAGGUAGGCAAGGAGAUUUCAUCGUAUUCGUAGCUAUUUAUAGCUGACUGGGGAUGCUUGCCUUUGAUUAAUUUUGAUGAGUUCAAGGGGUUUCUCAUGGAAAUCCGUUUGGUUGAAUUUCAAAAACCCUGAACCAAGUUCUUGAUUCUGCAGCUUUCUUUUAAUAAUUGUGUGAAUGUUACAUAGAUUGAUACCUUUGCCGCCUCUUUAAUAAUGAAAGUCUCCCAAUCCCUUGGACUAUAAGUGAGAUGGUAAUAUGGGAAGAGAAAAUUCCCACGGACUACAAGAAAUGUCCAUUGGACUAUAAACAAAAAAAGUCCCUUAAGAUCAACGAAAGUCCCUCGGUCUUUUCGACUAUAAAACAAGAUGGAAAUGUUGAAAGAGAAAACCCCCUUGAACUAUAAACAAGAAAAAUCCCAUAAGAUAAAACUAUAAACAAGAAAAGUCCCUUAAGAUCAACAAAAGUCCUCAAAUGGGAAUGUUGGAAAAGAAAAGUCCCUUGGACUAUAAACAAGAAUAGUCCCUUAUGAUCAACGAAAAAGUACCUUGGAUUAUAAACAAGAAACGAAAGUCCCUCAGUCCCUUGGACUAUAAACAAGAUGGGAAUGUUGGAAGAGAAAAGUCCCCUGUACUAUAAAUAAAAAAAGUCCCUUAAGAUCAACGAAAAAGUCCCUUGGACUAUAAACAAGAAAAGUCCGUGAAGAUCAACGAAAGUCCCCAAAUCCCUUGGACUAUAAACAAGAUUGGAAUGUUGGAAGAGAAAAGUCCUUUGGACUAUAUACAAGAAAAGUCCCUUGAGAUCAACGAAAGUCCCUCAGUCCCUUGGACUAUAAAAUAGAUGGAAAUGUGGGUAGAGAAACGUCCCUUGGACUAUAAACAAGAAACGUCCCUUGAGAUCAACGAUAAAGUCCCUUGGACUAUAAACAAGAUGGGAGUGUUGGAAAAGAAAUGUCCCCUGGACUAUAAACAAGAAAAGUCCCUUGGCACAUAAACAAGAAAAGUCUCUUUAGAUCAACCAAAGUCCCUCGGUCCCUUUGACUAUAAACAAGAUCAGAAUGUUGGAAGAGAAAAGUCCCUUUGACUAUGAACGCGAUAAAUCCCAUAAGAUCAACGGAAGUCCCUCGGUCCCUUGGACUAUUAAUAAAAUGGGAAUGUUGGAAGAGAAAGUCUAUUUAGUCGUUGUAAUAUACUAACCUUGCAGGUAAUUUUUCCAACAUGAGGAAAAAUGUUAACUAUGGAAUAAGGUACAAACACGCCAUGCAUGAGGUAAUCCUGUUAUUGGAAUGCCAUUCUAUGUUGAUUUGUGUUGUAUAGCUAAAUACCAUGUGGAUUUGUUGGUGGUAAAAACUGAAUAUAUUGGGUGGUAGUUUGAAACUGAUGUAAUUUUGCCUGUAUGUUAUGACGACUUGGAAAACAUAUCAUAAUGUGAUAUUGUUUGUUCUCUUAAUUUUGUAACUUACAUUACGAUUCUGCAAGCUCGAUUUAGAAUUAUAUGAUCAUUAGGGCUUUGGUUUGAAUCCAUUUACUGAGGAUUGAUAAAAAAAAUUAAAAAUCAGGAUUGGGAGUUAGAUUUUGUUUAAGUGGAAUGUAAAGCCUAAGACAUAUAUUCCACAAUUUGGCGUAUUAUUUUAGAUUAGAAUAAACAAUAAAAGUCUCCUAGUCCCUUGGACUAUAAACAAGAUGGAAAUGUUGAAAGAGAAAAAGCCCUUAGACUAUAAACAAGAAAAAUCCCUUAAGAUAAAUGAAAAAGUGCCUUAGAUUAUAAACAAGAAAAGUCCCUUAUGAUCAACAAAGUCCCUUAAGAUCAACGAAUGUCCCUCAGUCCCUUGGAUUAUAAACAAAAUGGGAAUGUUGGAAGAGAAAAGUCCCCUGAACUAUAAACAAGAACAGUCCCUUAUGAUCAACGAAAAAGUCCUUUGGACUAUAAACAAGAAAAGUCCGUUAAGAUCAACGAAAGUCCCUCCGUCCCUUGGACUAUAAACAAGAUAGGAAUGUUGGAAGAGAAAGUCCCCAGGACUACAAACAAAAAAAGACCUUUAGGAUCAAUGAAAAAGUCCCUUUUAAACAAGAAAAAGUCCGUAAAUAUCAACGAAAUUCCCAAGUCCCUUGGACUACAAACAAGAUUGGAAUAUUGGAAGAGAAAAGUCCUUUUGACUAUAUACAAGAAAAGUCCCUUGAGAUCAACGAAAGUCCCUCAGUCCCUUGGACUAUAAAAUAGAUGGAAAUGUGGGUAGAGAAAAGUCCCUUGGACUAUAAACAAGAAAGUCCCUUGGACUAUAAACGAGAUGGGAGUGUUGGAAGAGAAAUGCCCCCUGGACUAUAAACAAGAAAAGUCCCUUGGCGCAUAAACAAGAAAAGUCUCUUUAGAUCAACCAAAGUGCCUCGGUCCCUUUGGCUAUAAACAAGAUCAGAAUGUUGAAAGAGAAAAAUCCCUUUGACUAUGAACGAGAUAAAUCCCAUAAGAUCAACGGAAGUCCUUCGGUCCCUUGGACUAUUAACAAAAUGGGAAUGUUGGAAGAGAAAGUCCAUCUAGUCGUUUUAAUAUACUAACCUUGCAGGUAGUAUUUCCAACAUGAGGAAAAAGGUUAACUAUGGAUUAAGGUACAAACACGCCAUGGAUGAGGUAAUCCUAUUAUUGGAAUGCUAUUGUGUGUUGAUUUGUGUUGUAUACCUAAAUACCAUGUGGAUAUGUUGGUGGUAAAAACUGAAUAUAUUGGGUGGUAGUUUGAAACUGAUGUAAUUUUGCCUGUAUGUUAUGACGACAUGGAAAACAUAUCUUAAUGUGAUAUUGUUUGUUCUCUUAAUUUCGUAACUUACAUUACGAUUCUGCAAGCUCGAUUUAGAAUUAUAUGAUCAUUAGGGUUUUGGUUUGAAUCCAUUUACUG
Molecule: long non-coding RNA, 3496 nt
Filed under: Aquilegia coerulea
Lineage: Eukaryota; Viridiplantae; Streptophyta; Magnoliopsida; Ranunculales; Ranunculaceae
Description: long non-coding RNA (ACOE_LNC001764)
Source: RNAcentral